CCGCCCCCGACGACAAGGUAGCCAAGUGUGGCUGUCUUUCUCGAAAAGAGAAUAGUCGGGGGUGUUUUA
Molecule: non-coding RNA, 69 nt
Filed under: unclassified sequences
Description: DUF3800-IX RNA
Rfam family: DUF3800-IX RNA
About the family: Actinobacteria, Firmicutes (1 example), Nitrospirae, Proteobacteria, Verrucomicrobia (1 example). Nearby to DUF3800
Source: Rfam by way of RNAcentral